This 614-nucleotide long non-coding RNA is filed under the name Homo sapiens (human). RNAcentral describes it as "non-protein coding lnc-AHSP-5:4". Lineage: Eukaryota; Metazoa; Chordata; Mammalia; Primates; Hominidae. The record is from RNAcentral.
AGUUAGGAAACUGACUGUCGCUCUCUCCGGCCUCGGCGCUGCUUCGGACGCCCCGGCACCGGCCCCCGUUGCUUUGUAGCAUUCUGCAGCUGGGCUGCAGGCGCCGUGGGCCUCCGCCAGUUGUGUUCGAGACGCGGUUCGGCCACAGAAGUUUUAGCUUGUGACUUUUGGCAAGUCAGUGGCCCUCUCUGGGCCUCAGGUGCCUUUUUUGCUGUGAGACCAGCGACUGUAUUUUUAACCCUGAUUUUAUCCCUAGAUCUACCCAACACAUAGUAGGUGCUCAAAAGAUAUUUAUGAGUGAAUGAAUGCAUCAUGAGAAGAAAUUGGACCAGAUGAGGCCCUGUGAAGCUGCUUGGGUCUUUUUUUGUUCUUUUUUUUUUCUCUCUUCUGAGUGUCCCUGGCCUGGACUAGAAAUUCUCCAUCCUUCGGCCUUCUGCGAGACUGCAGGAACAUUACUUUUGAAGGAUGCUAAGGAAUCCGAGGGAUGAAAAAAAUCAAGAGAUUGCAAUGAUGUCACAAAACAAGGAAACAAGUGCAGCAUCUUCACUCCGAAGCAGAAAUUUGCCAAAAAAGCAUCCUCUUUUUAUCAGAAAAUAAAAUAUCCUGGUUUCUUA